UGCUGUGCCUGAGUCUACCUUUACUAGCCGUUACCGGCCUCCGUUCCCCUCCCUAGCGGCGCCUGCCCCGCCUUGCAUUCCCAAGCUCCGCCCCCCUUGCCCCUAGCGGCUGUUUGUUGACUUCCGGGAGCGCGGUUGUCCGUUGAUUCGCCAGGCGGAACUGGGGGGCUUUUGCGGCCGGCGUCGGGGCGGAGUAGCUGCCUUAGCCCCGACCAAACCGUCCUCUACAGCCUCCUGGCCCAGGCGCAGGCUGCCCGUACCGCCCUUGGCAUGAAGGAGCCCGAAGAGCCGUUGCCCGUUUAUGUGUGAUCACCCCCCUUGGGAUUUCUCCAGAAGCUGGACCUGGCCUACUAUUUGGUGUAUGUGUGUGUUUAAAUGGUUUUUGGGAACUGCUAAUUAGUCUCGCUUCAAAAUGAUCCUGUGCCACAACAGUUUGUGAAUACUACUCAAAUCAGAACGCUGGAGGUUCCUUGGAAAAACUGGACCAGAGAAAAUCCAAAUUGACUGAUAGAGACUCUCCCCAUAGAUAUCCUGAGUGAAGUUAAUGAGGAAGCUAAGUACUGUCCUGUUUUUGUGUUUCGAGAAAAGCUCUCAGUCAGAGGCCAGACCAUGAGGUGUUAACCAGAGCAAGACUAGCACAAAUUGUACCAUUUCAUUCCAGGGAAUAGACAUCUACUUGGUGACAGCAGAACUAUUAGUAAUAGAUGACUGCCUUCCUUGUGAUAGUGUAUUUCUUACUUUGUGCCAGUAUAUGAGUAAUACAUGUUCAAUCUAGUAGAUUUCAGAGGUAAAACUAUAAUGGAGUCUGAGGAAUAAGAAAGACUGAAUUAAGGUGGAAGAAGGAAGGCUUAAACAUUGCCAGAGUGGGGGCAAAGCUGUCAUGAAACAAGAGGUUUGUAUGGAUAAUUACUAAAAGGUAUUUAAAUAACAGGCAACAUAAGUUAAAGUUAUAAAAUAGAGACCAUCUUAUAUUUGCAGAUUCGGGUGCUGUGUUUACAUUUGGGAAAAGUAAAUUUGCUGAAAAUAAUCCCAGUAAAUUCUGGUUUAAAAAUGAUGUCCCUGUACAUCUUUCAUGUGGAGAUGAACAUACUGCUAUUGUUACCGGUUAGUAUUACAAUCCUGAAUGAGGACAGUAAUACUUAGAAAAUUCUAAAUAUAAUGUUAUAGAUACGCUGCUGUGUUUUAAACAUGUUGAAAAUAUAUCAUAAAAAAGCAACAUCUCUAAGUGAUUGGCAUAUGGGCUGCAAAAGAUGACUGCUAUGAUUCUUGGUCAUCCACAG
Molecule: long non-coding RNA, 1280 nt
Filed under: Cercocebus atys (sooty mangabey)
Lineage: Eukaryota; Metazoa; Chordata; Mammalia; Primates; Cercopithecidae
Description: lncRNA (ENSCATG00000045419.1)
Source: RNAcentral